UACAGAGGUGGCAAGCGUUGUUCGGAAUUACUGGGCGUAAAGGGCGCGUAGGCGGCCCGUCAAGUCCCGUGUGAAAGCCCCCGGCUCAACUGGGGAACUGCACGGGAAACUAGCAGGCUUGAGUUCGGGAGAGGGAAGCGGAAUUUCGGGUGUAGCGGUGAAAUGCGCAGAUAUCCGAAGGAACACCGGUGGCGAAGGCGGCUUCCUGGACCGACACUGACGCUGAGGCGCGAAAGCUAGGGGAGCAAACGGG
This 253-nucleotide ribosomal RNA is filed under the name uncultured bacterium. RNAcentral's name for it is "partial 16S ribosomal RNA". It matches the Rfam family "Bacterial small subunit ribosomal RNA", at positions 524 to 776 of the family's 1533-position model. The record is from RNAcentral.